RNAcentral lists this ribosomal RNA (465 nucleotides) under uncultured bacterium. RNAcentral describes it as "partial 16S ribosomal RNA". It matches the Rfam family "Bacterial small subunit ribosomal RNA", at positions 339 to 795 of the family's 1533-position model. The record is from RNAcentral.
CUACGGGAGGCAGCAGUGGGGAAUAUUGGACAAUGGGGGAAACCCUGAUCCAGCAAUGCCGCGUGUGUGAAGAAGGCCUGCGGGUUGUAAAGCACUUUCGGUUGGGAGGACUGCUUCUAGCACUAAUAUUGUUGGAAGUUGACGUUACCUUCAGAAGAAGCACCGGCUAACUCCGUGCCAGCAGCCGCGGUAAUACGGGGGGUGCAAGCGUUAAUCGGAAUUACUGGGCGUAAAGCGCGCGUAGGCGGCUAGAUCAGUCGGGUGUGAAAGCCCCGGGCUUAACCUGGGAACUGCAUCCGAUACUGUCUAGCUUGAGUACAGGAGAGGAGAGUGGAAUUCCACAUGUAGCGGUGAAAUGCGUAGAUAUGUGGAGGAACACCAAUGGCGAAGGCAGCUCUCUGGCCUGAUACUGACGCUGAGGUGCGAAAGCGUGGGGAGCAAACAGGAUUAGAUACCCCUGUAGUC